CGAACGCGACCCCAGGUCAGGCGGGAUCACCCGCUGAGUUUAA
This 43-nucleotide ribosomal RNA is filed under the name Castilleja lasiorhyncha. RNAcentral describes it as "partial 26S ribosomal RNA". RNAcentral also lists the same sequence under 1 other name. Lineage: Eukaryota; Viridiplantae; Streptophyta; Magnoliopsida; Lamiales; Orobanchaceae. The record is from RNAcentral.